CUCGGUACUUAUACAUCUCGUCAAUGUGUUUGUAUUGUCUUUCAUUUUUGGUGGCGUGUUUUGUAUGUGCGACUUUUUGUAUUUCUUUGUUCUUAUAACGUGACUCUGUACUUUAAAAGAUGUCAGUAUAUAUUGUUCUAUUUUAUGUCAUUAUGAUAUAUUUCUAUUAUGUAUUACAAAAUACGUUGAACCAUAAACGUCAAAAUCAUUCAAUCGCGUAGUGGAAUUAACUAUUUGUGGAUUCUUAAAUAUUCUAUAUAUAACUUUUGGGACUAUUUUCAAUCUCGGUAUAUUUCUGAAAUUUAUUCUUACAUACUUUUGAUUUUUUAACCCUAUAUGCUAACAUUGCCUAUGUAAAUUCAGGCAGCGCCUGCAAAUAAAAAAUAUAUCUCCCAGCUGAUGCGAUAUUCAUUGGCUCGUAUUCCCUACCACGAUUUCCUUGAAAGACGGUUGCCUUCACAAAAAGCUAUUAAACAAAGAAUUCCAAGUAGUGUAGUUAAUUAUAAAAUCAUCCCUUGUAAAUUUUACGGACGCCAUCACGAGUUGGUUGAUCCUUAUCGAAUAUCUGUUUCACAGAUGAUAGAAGAUAUGUUCCUACAUAUAUAAUCCCGUUCCCUUUUACUCGAAU
RNAcentral lists this long non-coding RNA (628 nucleotides) under Mytilus galloprovincialis (Mediterranean mussel). The record is from RNAcentral. Lineage: Eukaryota; Metazoa; Mollusca; Bivalvia; Mytilida; Mytilidae.